Molecule: non-coding RNA, 515 nt
Organism: Hyla sarda
Lineage: Eukaryota; Metazoa; Chordata; Amphibia; Anura; Hylidae
Source: the annotation of a RefSeq genome assembly
UGGGAUCUCAAAGCAAGCAGACCUGUUAUCAUAGUGACAAGACAAGCUAGGCCUGAAGCCUUCCACUUCAGCAGCCUUCUAAACUGUGUCCAGUCUCAGCAACUUGUCCAGUCAUCAGACCCAGUGGUGAUAAAGCCCGGGAAUUCCUAUAGCGCCUCAUGUACGGCUUCUGGAUUCACCUUCAGUGAUUACAGCAUGAACUGGGUUAGACAGAGUCCUGGCGGAGGAUUACAGUGGGUUGCUCGGAUUGAUACCACCAGCACAUACUAUCAUGAUUCUGUUAAAGGACGAUUCACAAUCUCCAGAGAUAACAAUAAUAACAUGUUAUAUCUACAAAUGACCAAAAUGAAGACUGAGGACUCUGCCGUGUAUUACUGUGCAAGAUACACACUGAUAGAAGACAAUGACUGAGUGUAACAAAAACCGAUACACAGCUUCAUCAUUUCCCCACUAGGUGGCAGUAGACGUCAUAUAAUAUUUUGAUGAAACAAUAGUCCUUAAUAUUACAAACAUAG